This 2362-nucleotide unclassified non-coding RNA is filed under the name Rotavirus sp. Lineage: Riboviria; Orthornavirae; Duplornaviricota; Resentoviricetes; Reovirales; Sedoreoviridae. The record is from RNAcentral.
GGCUAUAAAAUGGCUUCGCUCAUAUACAGACAGCUGCUCGCUAAUUCUUACGCAGUGGAUUUGUCUGAUGAGAUACAGUCAGUUGGAUCAGAGAAAAACCAACGCGUUACAGUGAAUCCAGGACCAUUUGCGCAGACAGGAAAUGCGCCGGUGAACUGGGGGCCCGGUGAAGUGAAUGACUCGACUGUGGUACAACCUGUGUUGGAUGGACCGUAUCAACCAGCGUCGUUCGAUCUACCAGUAGGAAAUUGGAUGUUGUUAGCGCCAACAGGACCAGGUGUGGUAGUGGAAGGGACGGAUAAUUCUGGUAGAUGGUUGUCUGUAAUUCUGAUUGAACCAGGCGUCACAUCAGAGACUAGAACGUAUACGAUGUUUGGAUCAAGUAAACAGGUGUUAGUGUCGAACGUGUCUAAUACGAAAUGGAAAUUUGUUGAAAUGAUGAAGACGGCGGUUGAUGGUGACUAUGCGGAAUGGGGAACGUUACUAUCGGACACCAAACUCUAUGGGAUGAUGAAAUAUGGAGAGAGACUAUUCAUAUACGAAGGAGAAACCCCAAAUGCCACGACCAAAGGAUACAUUCUAACGAAUUAUGCAUCAGUUGAGGUAAGGCCAUAUAGUGACUUUUAUAUAAUUUCAAGAUCACAGGAAUCAGCAUGCACUGAGUAUAUAAACAACGGGCUGCCACCCAUCCAAAAUACCAGGAAUGUAGUGCCUGUGGCAAUAUCGUCCAGAUCAAUUAAACCAAGAGAAGUGCAGGCUAAUGAAGAUAUUGUAGUUUCUAAGACUUCACUAUGGAAAGAAAUGCAAUAUAAUAGAGAUAUCAUAAUUAGAUUUAGGUUUGAUAAUUCAAUAAUAAAAUCUGGAGGCUUGGGCUAUAAGUGGGCUGAAAUCUCAUUUAAAGCAGCAAAUUAUCAAUACAAUUACAUAAGAGACGGAGAAGAGGUUACAGCGCACACGACGUGCUCAGUUAAUGGUGUUAAUGAUUUUAGUUUUAACGGAGGCUCAUUACCAACAGAUUUCGCAAUAUCGAGAUAUGAGGUAAUUAAAGAAAAUUCGUAUGUAUACGUUGAUUACUGGGACGAUUCACAGGCAUUCAGAAAUAUGGUCUACGUGCGAUCAUUAGCAGCGAAUUUGAAUGACGUAAUGUGUUCUGGCGGAGAUUAUAGCUUCGCGCUACCUGCCGGACAGUGGCCAGUGAUGAAAGGGGGAGCGGUGACGUUGCACACAGCAGGAGUAACAUUAUCUACACAAUUCACCGACUACGUAUCACUGAACUCACUAAGGUUUAGGUUUAGACUGGCAGUUGAAGAACCCUCAUUCACGAUAACUAGAACACGUGUAUCAAAACUGUAUGGUUUACCAGCAGCGAACCCAAACGGCGGAAGGGAAUAUUAUGAAGUGGCGGGAAGGUUUUCGCUCAUAUCAUUGGUGCCAUCAAAUGAUGACUAUCAAACGCCAAUUAUGAACUCAGUAACAGUAAGGCAAGACUUGGAAAGGCGUUUAAAUGAGUUGAGAGAAGAGUUUAAUAACUUAUCACAAGAGAUAGCUGUGUCGCAGUUAAUUGACUUAGCUAUGCUACCACUAGACAUGUUUUCGAUGUUCUCGGGAAUUGAGGGUACUGUGAACGCAGCAAAAUCGAUGGCUACCAACGUGAUGAGGAAAUUUAAGAGUUCAAAACUCGCAUCAUCAGUGUCAAUGUUGACGGACUCUUUCUCCGAUGCGGCCUCAUCUAUCGCAAGGAGCACAUCAAUACGAUCAAUAGGAUCAACGGCAUCAGCUUGGGCUAAUGUUUCAGAGCAAACGCAAGACGCUGUUAGUGAAGUUGCGACGAUAUCAUCACAAGUGUCACAAAUAAGUGGGAAAUUAAGAUUAAAAGAAAUUACGACUCAAACAGAAGGAAUGAAUUUCGAUGACAUAUCAGCGGCGGUCCUAAAAGCCAAGAUAGAUAGAUCAAUACAGGUCGACCAAAAUGCAUUACCAGACGUCAUCACAGAAGCGUCAGAGAAAUUCAUCCGUAAUAGGGCGUAUAGAGUAAUAGACGGAGAUGAAGCAUUUGAGGCGGGCACUGACGGAAGAUUUUUCGCGUACAAGGUGGAAACGCUUGAGGAAAUGCCAUUCAAUAUAGAAAAAUUCGCAGAUUUAGUUACCAACUCACCAGUCAUAUCAGCAAUAAUAGACUUUAAGACAUUCAAAAACCUGAAUGACAAUUAUGGGAUAACUAGAGAGCAAGCAUUUAAUUUGUUACGGUCAAACCCCAAAGUUUUGCGUGGAUUUAUUGACCAAAACAAUCCAAUUAUAAAAAACAGGAUAGAACAAUUAAUCAUGCAAUGUAGAUUGUGAGAAGCUUCUGGAGGAUGUGACC